AACGUAGGACGCAAGCGUUAUCCGGAGUUACUGGGCGUAAAGCGCGGGCAGGCGGUUGGUCAAGUCUGAUGUGAAAUCUCCUCGCUCAACGGGGAGCAGCCAUUGGAAACUGGGCAACUGGAGUCUGGCAGAGGUAGGCGGAAUUCCGGGUGGAGUGGUGAAAUGCGUAGAGAUCCGGAGGAACACCUGCGGCGAAGGCGGGUAGCUGGGCCGACACUGACGCUGAGGCGCGAAAGCCAGGGGAGCGAACGGG
Molecule: ribosomal RNA, 253 nt
Filed under: uncultured bacterium
Lineage: Bacteria
Description: partial 16S ribosomal RNA
Rfam family: Bacterial small subunit ribosomal RNA
Source: RNAcentral